This 242-nucleotide unclassified non-coding RNA is filed under the name uncultured fungus. Its description in RNAcentral is "partial contains 5.8S ribosomal RNA, internal transcribed spacer 2, and large subunit ribosomal RNA". The stretch from base 1 to 52 matches the Rfam family "5.8S ribosomal RNA", at positions 103 to 154 of the family's 154-position model. Lineage: Eukaryota; Fungi. The record is from RNAcentral.
AACGCACAUUGCGCCCCUUGGUAUUCCGAGGGGCAUGCCUGUUCGAGCGUCAUUUCAACCCUCAAGCACAGCUUGGUCUUGGGCCCCGCUGCUCACCCAGCGGGCCUUAAAAUCAGUGGCGGUGCCGUCGGGCCCUGAGCGUAGUAAAUCUCCUCGCUAUAGGGCCCCGGCGGAUGCUGGCCAGCAACCCCCAACUUUCUGUGGUUGACCUCGGAUCAGGUAGGGAUACCCGCUGAACUUAA